This 225-nucleotide ribosomal RNA is filed under the name Clostridioides difficile. Its description in RNAcentral is "partial 23S ribosomal RNA". It matches the Rfam family "Bacterial large subunit ribosomal RNA", at positions 653 to 876 of the family's 2925-position model. The record is from RNAcentral. Lineage: Bacteria; Bacillati; Bacillota; Clostridia; Peptostreptococcales; Peptostreptococcaceae.
CUUAAGGUGCGGAGCCGUAGCGAAAGCGAGUUUUAACUGAGCGUUCAGUUAUUUGACGUAGACCCGAAACCGGGCGACCUACCCAUGAGCAGGAUGAAGCGAAAGUAAAAUUUCGUGGAGGCCCGAACCCACGAGCGUUGAAAAGCUCGGGGAUGACUUGUGGGUAGCGGUGAAAUUCCAAUCGAGCCCGGAGAUAGCUGGUUCUCCCCGAAAUAGCUUUAGGGC